CUCUGCUGUGUCGGGUAUACUUGGGCCCAAGCUCGAGCUUGUAAAUAAACCCUUGUGCAUUUGCAUCGGUAUCGGCUCCUUGGUGGUCUCUCGGAUUUGAAAUCGGGGGCAUUACAGAACUGUCUUCUUGACUUCAUUUCCAUAUGCCGUCUUCUGUGUCUUUGUGUCUUCACACGAAAUCUAUCUUGAAUAAAUCUUUCUCCUAUUAACCUGUGACUUUCGGUUUCAUUUUCAGACACAGCCAGGAACCACAAAAGAGUCAAGGAAUACUUUCUUCCACCUACAAGGGCCAGAGUGACCACCGCUGUAGCCCAGGGCUUCCCAAAUUUCUUGUGCACAGGUAUCUCCCUGGGAUCUGGGGCAGAUUCAGAUUCUAAUUCAGGAGAUCAGAGCUGGGCGCAGAGAAUGUGUUCCUAACAGGCGUCCAGGGGCGAGGUGGACACAGAUGAAGGAUAUGCAGGACUGAAGAAGGAAGCGGAGCCCAAAACAGGUGUAAGUAGAUGGGCUCCCCAAGGCCCAACCAAUCUCCCACGCCUUCCCAGGGCACAGACCCUGAGCAUGACACUCCCUUCCCCGCACACGUGGCAGGAUCUGGUUCACUUCCCGCCGUAGCGUCACAGGUCCAUGGACACCACCUUCUCUGUACACAGGAGGGCCUAGCUCACUUCCUGCCCCGACGUCACACGGCCCCUGGACACGGCCCUCCCCGCACAAGGGGCAGGACCCCGCUCACUUCCCGCCCUGACGUCACACGUCCCCGGACACGGCCCUCCCCGCACACGGGGCAGUAUGCCACUCACUUCCUGCGUGACGUCACAGGACCCUGGACACCACCCUCCUGCAUAAGGGGCGGGACCCUGUGUACUUCCCACCGUGACGUCACAGGACCCUGGACACUACCGUCCCUGCAUAAGGGGCGGGACCCUGUGCACUUCCUGCCGUGAUGUCACAGGACCCUGGACAUUCCAGGGUAUCCUGGAGACCAAGGUCUUCAGGGCAUGCCGGAGGGAACAUGGCAGGAGACAGAGGAGUGACCCUGUUUGUCCUGCUGCUGUCCUGCUGGCGCCACGCGGAGCCCCAGCCCAUCAACACGAUUUCAGGUCCACAUACAGUACUGCCACCAAAUUUAAAAAAUUUUGAUGACAACGUGGCUGCACUAUUUGAUGAAAUUCUAGUCCAAGAGAUAUUGGAUCCAAGUAAUUCAUCAUUGCUUAUGACACAAAGACCACUACCAAAAUCAACAACGAUUAUGAAGAAAAAAAGCAAAAACCUAUACUCAAACGGAUUAUAAGAUGGAUAUUAAUAAGAAGCAUCAUAAAAAGAAAUUCUCUUCUGGGAAAGAAAAAAGGCCUUUCUUUGAUGGUAAAUGCAACCCGGUAAUGCCCCUGCCUUAAGAGAAGGUGGUGGGGAGGACAGAGGAGCCAGGCAGAUGUACACGGGGACGUCCCCGUCACGGAGGAUGAAAGCGUGGCUGGGGAGAGCUUAAGGCUGCUUCACCCCAGUGGGGCUGAUUUCCCGUCUCCAUUGAGGAACCGCCUGCCCACCACCCCUGCCCGUGGUCCUGACCCUGGCGAAGCAGAGCCUGGCAGGAAGGUCCCGGCAGGCAGGUGGCCACUAGCCGGGAGGAAGGGCCGCCACACUGCCCGCCCCUCCCACACGUCAGCUGGGUACCUGCCCCUCCCUGGGGGUCAGGGGCUGGGCAGGGAGAGCCAGUGUCGCCCCCCCCACCAGGGAGGUUCCCCCGGAGUGAGGGAAAGUGUCCCUCCAACGGCCACGGUUGCUGAAAUGAACUCCAGUGUUCAGGCACUGAGGCUGAGGAGCUAGCCCCCCACGGGGUGACAGAUCUUUUCCUCACCCUAAAGAUGACGCAAAAGAAAGGUGCCCAUGUAGCUCGCGGGAUGCCUGGCCCGUGAAGGGUUGUGGCGGGCCCUAGAGGAGGGACCAGGUCCUGCGUACCAGGCACAGUGGAGUGGAGCUGAGCAUGUCUGCAGGCCGGGCCCUGGAACCUACAUUUCAGUCCAUUCCACAGAGACUCUUCCCCAGGGAGCCAGCCUCUGGUGUUUGGAAGGAUAGAACAAGAGUAGGAUUUUCAUGGCAAGGAACAUUUCUAGCCCCUCUGGGGUUGUCCCGCCCACUGAAUGACUCAAAGUGCCUAAUGGGCAUGAAUACAGCCAGAAGCCUUUGUUGCAGGGGGGCUGCAGAUAGGAGAAGUUAAGGAAGGGUCUAUACUGAAGGAUGGGUGUGUCUCCACUGAAGGACCACCGUGACCCGGAGCGGCUUCAGGGACACACUCUCCCUGCAUCACACCCAUCAGACUCACUGGAGAAGCAGGAGGAAAUAAGAAUGGACAGGAAAACCUGAGCCAGUGAGAAUGAGAGCCAGGGGGAAGGGACUGAGUCUGGGGUCAGUGCAUCAGAGAAGCCACCAGCCCUCCAGGGUCCUGGGGCCCAGGCCCACCCUCAGAGAGACCAUGCAAUUCCCAGACUCAUGGUGCAUGCAUGGACAGCUGCAGACGACGCUGCAGGCCACCCCUGUGCCCAUCCCGGGCUGCACCCUGAAACUCGCCUGAGGGCUCGGCAGAGAACCCCACCCUCCCCACACCGCCCCUCUGCUGCUGGGACUCCCCCCAGCCUUCCCCGGGUUCCAGGCAAAUGCCACCGUUUAACAUAAAGGCCUCCUCCCUGUGUCAGCAACAGCUUCGUGCGGCAGAAGUUGUCUGUGCCCCCCUUAGCUCGAGAGUGCUGUUCCGAUGGAGAAACUGAGGCACGGCUCGGCUCAGGGACUGCCCGUAUCAGGUGGCAGGCUGGAGGUAGAUUGGGAGCCAGCCCCAGGCAGGACUGACUGAGGGGGCAAGAAGGCGUGGUCCCGGACCUGCUGGUCAGCCUGGGAGGGACAUUUCCACUGGGUGCAGAAGAGUCUCUGAGCCAGCCAUCCCUGGAGGAGCACCAUCCUCUUUGGGGUGGGGGGACACCAUAGCUGUCUCCCCUCACCUACCCCCACCACCCCGGACCUAAGGCGCCCUCACUACCCACCCAGGGGACAAGACCCAAACCGCUGAGCACACGGAGCGCCACGUUCUCAGCAAACUUAAUGAUGGUCCACCUCAAUAAAGAUCUCUGUUUGCAAACUGGUGCAGACGGGCAGACUGUCUCUGGCGACUUGUACAGGAAGGCAGGUGCUGCCGUGGCGUGUGUGGGAGCGAGGCUCAUGUGUCUGGUAACAGGAAAGCGACGGGAUGAGAAAUGUGCAGGAUGCAACGUCUAAAACGGCUCCAUUGUGAAACCAGUUUAGAUUUACAACCUAGGAAAGUGGUAGAAAGAGUUUCCCGUGUUCCUUCCACCCAGCUUUCCCCAGUGGUAACAUCUUAUGUAACUCGAGUACAAUUACUAAAACCGGGAAGUCCACGCUGAUGCAGUCCUGCCCGGUAACCUACAGACCUGGUCCAAAUUUUGUCAAUUAUCUUCCCAAUGCCAUUUUUUGGCUCCAGGAUCCAUUCAGAUUCCUCAUGGCAGCUACCGGUGACGUCACAUCUGUCGUUCCCGCCUGGGGGGUUACCCGGUCUCUGUCUUUCAUGACUUUGGGGAGUACUGGCCAGCUACUUAAUACAAUCUCUUUCAAUUUGGGUUUGUCUGAAUUCUCCCCACGACUAGAUUCAGGUUGCCUUUGGGGCAAGAAUGUUAAAGAAGUGAUGCUAUGUCUUCCUUCGUGCGUCCCAUGAGGAUGUGCAUGAUGUAGACUAUCUCAUUACCCGGAGUGGGGGGUGUUCACUUUGAUCACUUAUUCAAAGUACUGUAUACCUGGUGUCUCCAUAAUCAACUUGAUUUUUUUUCCAUGUGUAAACAAUUAGUAUUUUGGGGGGAGAUACUUUCAGACUGUAAAAAUACCCUGCUUUUCACCAUAUUUCCACCACUAAUUUAGCAUCCAUUGUUCCUUUUUAAAAAUUAUUUAUUUUGAGAGAGAGAGAGCACACACUAAUGCAUACAUGCGUGUGGACGGGGGAGGGAGAGAGAGAGAGAAUCCCAAGCAGGUUCCAUCCUCCGAGCAGAGCCCAACAUGGGGCUCAAUCCCAUGAAACAUGAGAUCAUGACAUGAGCCAAAAUCAAGAGGCAGCCAUUGAACCGACUGAACCCCCCAGGCGCCCCAGCAUCCAUCACCUCUUAACUGCAAGAAUUAUCACUAUAGUAUUUGCCAAAAGGUGAUUUUCUAGUUCUACUAUUCCUUCUACAUUCGAAAGGAAGAGCUGUACUUUCUUAAAAGGACUUUAUCUACUUGUUGAUUCCAUUAUGUUUAGAUCUGUGUAACAUACUGGUCUUUACUUUAUUCAAUGGGUUACAAACCACUACUAUUGUGCAUUUUGUUUCUUUGGUUUUCUUAUUUGGAGCUCGACACAUUGGCAUUGCUCUUGCACACUUUCCCUGCCCCAGCCCCGGGAGCAGCCAAGUCUGCACAGAGCCCUGCUCCCCCAUGCUGGAGAGGGGUAGUUAGAAGCCAAAGUCAGGGUUGGAUGUUUGCUGCUCUGGUGGGGUGUUGUUUCCAGGCCCCCCAGUGGACAGAGCCAAGACAGAUGUGUGUGGGCACAUAUCUGUGUUUCCACACCUAUCUGCUCAGAUGUUGGGCAUCCUGAAUUCAGACUCAUUCCGCUGGUCCCAGACCUGCCCGUGAGGCUCAUCCUACCUCCUUCCUUUUGUCUGUGAGAAUCCUGGGCCUCCUGUCCCACCAGAGUCCGUGCAUUUGCUCAGUCCCAGAAAACACAGAAGUAGCCCAAGAAUUGCUGGUGUAGCCCCACCCUGCGAAAAACAGAUUUACUAACUAGCAGGCAAGAUUUGUAUACUGCCUUUCAUGUUAAGCCUUAGAAUAUGUCGUCAGGUACUUCCUUCCAAACUUCCUCGUCAGGCUCUUUUCUUCCUGCCCUCCUAGUUACUGACUUGUACUAUUCUGCUUUGGGUCCCUUUUCAUUGUGGUUGAUGUCACUUCCUUCUUUGGAAGUAUAUAGCCAUGAUUCUAACACAAAAAGUCUUGCAUCUAAGAAUUCCACUUCCGCUGUGCCCCUAACAUUGGUGCCACCCCGCUUCUGUCCACCCGCUGCCUCACGUCCCACAGAGACCAGCCUCAUCAUUUCCUGCCUUAUCCUUCCCGUGCUUCCUUGGGCACAAAUGAGCAGGUACAUGUAUAUGACCCUUUUUUGGUACAAGAUUACUCAGUUUACUGUUUUAUAUCGUAUGUCUUCUUAAAUGUUUUAAGCCACUUCACUGAGGUCUGAUCGUGUGUAUUUUCUUAUAACUCUUUUUCUGUGCGUGAAAGGUAGCACAGUAUGGAUAUCUGGCACUUCCCUCUCUUAACCUAACAAUCUGUGCUAUAAAUUAUUCCACCUCUGUUUACAGAAGCUUCCUCAUUCCUGGUUUUUACACUUGUCUAGAUCUGCAUCGUGUGGACAGAGUACAGCUUAUCCAACCGCUCUCCUGCCCGUGGGCUUUCAGGUUGUUUCCAACACUUCGCCAACAGUGCUGCAGUGGGUACGCUUCGCACAUGUCUUUUCAUGUUGUUGGAUGUGCAUCUUCAGGGUAGACGUCUACACAUGGUCUGCUGAGUGAAAUCAGGAAUGUGUAUGUGGUCACAUAUGAACCACCAAUAACCCCCAGGAGGCUGUGCCCGUUUGUGCUCCCACCGGCGGUGUGUGUGAGGGCCUGUUCCCCUGCAGCCUUGGUGACACAGAGAGCCGAAGUCAAAAGGCGACCAGGUGGGCUGAAUUCCCACAAGGGAUGAGCAUCUCCAUGGAGGGACGGGACACAGGUCCGUGUCAGCUUUGACGGAGCAUGGAAAAGACAGGUGGCCACCAUGCAAGUGGGUAAGAAGAAAUCAGCCAAUGUUUUGCUAAUUCUUAAAGGCCAAGUGUGGGCUGUAGGUCAGUUUUGCGUAGCUGGGCCCCAGACUCAGGAUCUUAAUUCUGUUCUUCAGCUCUUUUCCACAGGGCUCACCUGGGACAGGGAGCGGGACAGGAGACCAGAGCAAGCGCUUGCUCUGGGGGCAGGUGGAGGUGUGUAUGUGAUGACCGGCUUCUGCUGGGGGCCACACGGAAAUGAACUAGAAACUGUCUUGGACCCCUGACUCACACCGAUACUAUAGGAAAGAGGAGAAAGAGACACUUUAUCAGAUUAAAAACCUAGAAGUUCUGGAAAAAAUCAUUGACAACCUUCGAAGAGCUUUAGGCAACACUCUCAAGCAAAGACUGCAGAAGCACAGGCGUUUGUUCAAAGGAGCCAAACACCACAAGGGGAAAUGGAGCCGGAACUGAGAAGCCAAGACCGCCUGAGGGGACAUCCACUCACCCCGCCACUAGGAGGAAAAAUAAAAUAGAAUCACUAUUUUCUAUAAAGAAGAAUCUCUUUAUUCAAGGAGUGCCAAAUAAAAUGAACACAUUUAAAUAUUAA
This is an RNA transcript of Prionailurus viverrinus (fishing cat), 6428 nucleotides long. It is a transcript of the gene named sperm acrosome-associated protein 7-like, with no coding region annotated. The record is from RefSeq and is a predicted model, not a curated record. The transcript is spliced from 7 exons. Lineage: Eukaryota; Metazoa; Chordata; Mammalia; Carnivora; Felidae.